This 728-nucleotide ribosomal RNA is filed under the name uncultured bacterium. Its description in RNAcentral is "bacterial SSU rRNA". It matches the Rfam family "Bacterial small subunit ribosomal RNA", at positions 777 to 1480 of the family's 1533-position model. The record is from RNAcentral.
AUUAGAUACCCUGGUAGUCCACGCCGUAAACGAUGAUCACUAGGUGUCGGUGGGUAUGGACCCAUCGGUGCCGCAGCCAACGCAGUAAGUGAUCCACCUGGGGAGUACGUUCGCAAGAAUGAAACUCAAAGGAAUUGACGGGGACCCGCACAAGCGGUGGAGCAUGUGGUUUAAUCCGAAGCAACGCGAAGAACCUUACCAAGUCUUGACAUCCUCCUGAAUACAGGGUAAUGCCUGUAGGCCUUCGGGACAGGAGAGACAGGUGGUGCAUGGUUGUCGUCAGCUCGUGUCGUGAGAUGUUGGGUUAAGUCCCGCAACGAGCGCAACCCUUAUCUUUAGUAGCCAGCAGGUAAAGCUGGGCACUCUAGAGAGACUGCCGGGGAUAACCCGGAGGAAGGUGGGGAUGACGUCAAAUCAUCAUGCCCCUUAUGAUUUGGGCUACACACGUGCUACAAUGGCGUAAACAGAGGGAAGCGAGCCCGCGAGGGGGAGCGAAUCCCAAAAAUAACGUCCCAGUUCGGAUUGUAGUCUGCAACCCGACUACAUGAAGCUGGAAUCGCUAGUAAUCGCGGAUCAGAAUGCCGCGGUGAAUACGUUCCCGGGUCUUGUACACACCGCCCGUCACACCAUGGGAGUCGGAAAUGCCCGAAGUCUGUGACCCAACCCCUGGUGAGCAUGACCGUAUAGAGAGAUAACAGAGCUUACGAAGGAAGGUCUGUUAUACUCGC